RNAcentral lists this ribosomal RNA (544 nucleotides) under Echis carinatus (saw-scaled viper). Its description in RNAcentral is "partial 16S ribosomal RNA". It matches the Rfam family "Bacterial large subunit ribosomal RNA", at positions 1799 to 2620 of the family's 2925-position model. The record is from RNAcentral. Lineage: Eukaryota; Metazoa; Chordata; Lepidosauria; Squamata; Viperidae.
CCUGUUUAUCAAAAACAUAACCCUUAGCUAAACAAGUAUUAAGGGCAACGCCUGCCCAGUGAAUAAUUAAACGGCCGCGGUAUCCUAACCGUGCAAAGGUAGCAUAAUCAUUUGUCUAUUAAUUGUAGACCUGUAUGAAAGGCAACAUGAGAGCCUAACUGUCUCUUAUAACAAAUCAAUUAAACUGAUCUUCUAGUACAAAAGCUAGAAUUCCCCCAUAAGACCAGAAGACCCUGUGAAGCUUUAAUUAAACUAUUAAACCCCAUAAUAGCUAAUUUCGGUUGGGGCGACCUUGGAACAAAAGAAAACUUCCAAACAUGCAACUCACUCGCACCAAAGGCUAACAAGCCACAAUAGACCCAGUACAUCUGAUAAAUGAACCAAGUUACUCCAGGGAUAACAGCGCUAUCUUCUUCAAGAGCCCAUAUCAAAAAGAAGGUUUACGACCUCGAUGUUGGAUCAGGACAUCCUAGCAAUGCAACAGUUUCUAAGGGUUCGUUUGUUCAACGAUUAACAGUCCUACGUGAUCUGAGUUCAGACCGGA